UGUGUCUAGAAACCGAUUUUCUGGAUAGUUUGUCUUCAGCUGCGAAAACAUUUUUUUAGCCUAAUGCGCGCGUUUUUUUUGAUUUUCUGGCCCACUGUGAGACGCUUAUCACUGCAAUUAAUUAGGAUUUUUUAAAUUUUAAAAUUCAACGGGCAGUGAAAUUUAAAAGGAUGAAUAAUGUAGAAUGAUAUUGUUGUUAGAUUGGGUUUUUCAUGUACGCUGAUAUGGUUGCAAAAAAUUGAAUAUAAAAAAUCUCAUAGUGCAACAGUUCGUUGGUAAAGUUACAGUUGGUGAAAUUUACGCGAGAACUGGUCGUUUGUAACGUUAAUUCAACAUUUCAGAUAGAAAAAUAUAUUCCUGUUUAAUUUUGUUCGAAGUUUACGAUAUACCUAGUGGAUUACCUGUAUUCAGAAAAUGAAAACCGUACUUUUGGUAGGAUUCCUCUUCGUAGGAUGCAUCGUUGUGCUCAACGCUUGCCGUGGGAGACCUUAUUCGGUACCUCGUCCAGCACCUCGUCCGGUACCGCCUCCGAUAAAUCUACCCAAAAACCUCGAAUUUUAUAAACCAGUCGAAUUUAAAAAUUUCGAAUUUAAAAAUGGCGAAUUUAAACCUGUCGAAUUUAAACCUCCUAGAGAUCCCAGCAACCACUACAAGAAUGAAUUACCAAAAGACUCCGCUCCGGAUAAACCCAUCGAUGUUCCUAAAAGUGUCCAUGUCGUCCACACGGGUCAUUCGUCUGGAGCCUCGGAUUCGAAUAUGGGCCAUUAUUCAGGACGUAUCAACUUAUGCCACGCAGUGCACUUCCUUUGGUUUUUAGUGCGUCCGAUUAUUCAAUAUUUAACGUUCUUAAACUAGACAGUGCUCUGAAACGAGUUUACAACCUUACACCUCAAUCAUACAGUCAAAUUUAAAAAAUUGACACCAAAAAACGCAGGCUUGUGUCCUAUUUUCCAGAUAACAUUUGAAGCAACGAAGAUAUAUGUAUAGUUAAGUACCUUAGUAGAUCCUGCUACUAGUUUUUCAGCUAUACAUAUUUUUUUUAAAUCGACAAUCGACGCUUUUUGAAAUGUCUUCAUUAUUCAGGCCAUCGAAGUAGGUACCUAUCUUUAAUUAAAAAAAAAAAAAAAGGAAUAAUGCGUCGAAUGAAUUCAAUAAAUCAUUUUGAACUCUAUGUACCUAGUACCUACCUAGUACCUGCUUUUUAAAUUCAUUAUAAUUUUCUCUUUUCUGCUUAAUAAACGCUUAAGUAUUUCAAUA
Planococcus citri (citrus mealybug) is the source of this 1257-nucleotide long non-coding RNA. RefSeq lists it as uncharacterized. The record is from RefSeq and is a predicted model, not a curated record. The transcript has 2 exons. NCBI's taxonomy places the organism in Eukaryota, Metazoa, Arthropoda, Insecta, Hemiptera, Pseudococcidae.